UCCAAGUGGAGGGGGAGACUCAGCCACGCGUAGUCCUGGGCGUUAGAGCAGUAAUGCCCCCAAAACACAGGGCUGCGAAUGGGGUCUGUUGGGGGGAGUGCGCGCCGGAGAUCUCCAAUCAGCCGCCCCCGCAGGCGGAGCGCCCGCCCAACACCGAGAGUGAUCUGCGACCGAGCUGACUGCGGCUUGGGGAGGCUUGAGUAUAGAAGAGGCCAUCGAGCAAUCACCGGAGCUAGGGAUCCCAGCCUCCGGGGCUCCGAGGCUCAGACUACGGGCGCCCCCCGCCACACCCAAACACGGACCCCUCUUUUCCCGUCCCUGGCUCUCCGCACCUGAACUUCGGGGGAGCCCGCGCCGCCAAACUUUCCGCAGACUUGCAGCGAACUCCGGCCCCGGCCGCGCACCGGGCCCCGGGGGAGGAGAGGGAGCAGGUGACUGGAAGUCCUGGGUGCCUCUGAAACAAGGCCAGCUCCCCUCAACUUUUACUGCAACACCCUGCAAGCAGCCACACCUUUCAAAGAUGGCAGAGAUGUGGAAUGGAGGUGGGGGGAGACUGCCCAGAAGGACCUAACCAGUAUUGCCCCUUAAUUAGCUGGGGGAAGCUCCAGAAGCCCGUCAGGCUGCUGGCCCCGGCCAGGAUCCUGAAUGGCUUUUUAGCACGCUCUAAGUUCUACAUUUGGGAGCUACCAGAUGACAAACCUGACUGGCUGAAAGCCGGACUGGCCUUGGGUACCUCCAUCUUCUUGUGGAUCUAUCUCAUCAAACAUAAUGAAGAUGUUUUAAAAUAUAAAAGAAGAAAUGGGUUGGAAUAAACUUUUGAUAUACUAAUACAGUAUGUCCCAUAUAGUGAUUAUAACUGUUCCUCUGGAUUUACCAAUCUGUUGAGUUAUAAACAUAAGAGAAAAAG
This is a long non-coding RNA of Lagenorhynchus albirostris (white-beaked dolphin), 907 nucleotides long. RefSeq lists it as uncharacterized. The transcript has 4 exons. The record is from RefSeq and is a predicted model, not a curated record. Lineage: Eukaryota; Metazoa; Chordata; Mammalia; Artiodactyla; Delphinidae.